UACGGAGGAUGCGAGCGUUAUCCGGAUUUAUUGGGUUUAAAGGGUGCGCAGGCGGCGUGUCAAGCAAGCGGUAAAAUAGCGGGGCUCAACCCCGUCGAGCCGUUUGAACUGGCGCGCUUGAGUUCAGGCGAGGUAGGCGGAAUUCGUGGUGUAGCGGUGAAGUGCAUAGAUAUCACGAAGAACUCCGAUUGCGAAGGCAGCUUACCAGUCUGCGACUGACGCUCAGGCACGAAAGUGUGGGUAUCGAACAGG
This 252-nucleotide ribosomal RNA is filed under the name uncultured bacterium. Its description in RNAcentral is "partial 16S ribosomal RNA". It matches the Rfam family "Bacterial small subunit ribosomal RNA", at positions 524 to 776 of the family's 1533-position model. The record is from RNAcentral.